Pezoporus occidentalis (night parrot) is the source of this 322-nucleotide long non-coding RNA. RefSeq lists it as uncharacterized. The transcript has 3 exons. NCBI's taxonomy places the organism in Eukaryota, Metazoa, Chordata, Aves, Psittaciformes, Psittacidae. The record is from RefSeq and is a predicted model, not a curated record.
GUGGUGUCCUUUUUGCCCUUAUGUGAUGAAGCAACAACAGCCAGGUACUGAAUAACCUUUUUGGUAUUUUCUGUCUUGCCAGCACCAGAUUCACCUCUAAGGGGACAGAAAAUAACACAAAAGAAGGCUGAAGGUUUUCCUAUUUUCAGCAGAUAGACUUUGAGGCUUUUAUUUCCUUUUGAAGUGGAUAACAAAAAGUUCUUCAGUGUGAAAUGGAAAUGCUUCCACAUGAAAUGGAGAAUGGACAGGAUCAGACUGUGAGCUGUUAUAUCUGCUGGAGCAGAUUUAGGAUUGGAGUUCAAGCUUACUGAAGGUGAGGAGA